GGAUCGGAGGCGGAUAUCGGUUGGCCGCGCCUGUCUGUAAAACAGGAUCUUUCGAUGACGAUGGGGGUUCGAUUCCCUCCCGAUCCA
This 87-nucleotide transfer RNA is filed under the name Labilithrix sp. RNAcentral's name for it is "tRNA-Tyr". It matches the Rfam family "tRNA". From Rfam's summary of the family: Transfer RNA (tRNA) molecules are approximately 80 nucleotides in length. Their secondary structure includes four short double-helical elements and three loops (D, anti-codon, and T loops). Lineage: Bacteria; Pseudomonadati; Myxococcota; Polyangiales; Labilitrichaceae. The record is from RNAcentral.